UCUUUUUAUGGAGAGUUUGAUCCUGGCUCAGAGUGAACGCUGGCGGCGUGCCUAAUACAUGCAAGUCGAACGAUGAAGCUUCUAGCUUGCUAGAAGUGGAUUAGUGGCGCACGGGUGAGUAACGCAUAGAUAACAUGCCCUUUAGUCUAGGAUAGCCACUGGAAACGGUGAUUAAUACUGGAUACUCCCUACGGGGGAAAGUUUUUCGCUAAAGGAUUGGUCUAUGUCCUAUCAGCUUGUUGGUGAGGUAAUGGCUCACCAAGGCUAUGACGGGUAUCCGGCCUGAGAGGGUGAACGGACACACUGGAACUGAGACACGGUCCAGACUCCUACGGGAGGCAGCAGUAGGGAAUAUUGCUCAAUGGGGGAAACCCUGAAGCAGCAACGCCGCGUGGAGGAUGAAGGUUUUAGGAUUGUAAACUCCUUUUGUUAGAGAAGAUUAUGACGGUAUCUAACGAAUAAGCACCGGCUAACUCCGUGCCAGCAGCCGCGGUAAUACGGAGGGUGCAAGCGUUACUCGGAAUCACUGGGCGUAAAGAGUGCGCAGGCGGGGUAGCAAGUCAGAUGUGAAAUCCUAUGGCUUAACCAUAGAACUGCAUUUGAAACUGUUACUCUAGAGUAUGGGAGAGGUAGGUGGAAUUCUUGGUGUAGGGGUAAAAUCCGUAGAGAUCAAGAGGAAUACUCAUUGCGAAGGCGACCUACUGGAACAUUACUGACGCUCAUGCACGAAAGCGUGGGGAGCAAACAGGAUUAGAUACCCUGGUAGUCCACGCCCUAAACGAUGAAUGCUAGUUGUUGCCCUGCUUGUCAGGGCAGUAAUGCAGCUAACGCAUUAAGCAUUCCGCCUGGGGAGUACGGUCGCAAGAUUAAAACUCAAAGGAAUAGACGGGGACCCGCACAAGCGGUGGAGCAUGUGGUUUAAUUCGAAGAUACGCGAAGAACCUUACCUAGGCUUGACAUUGAUAGAAUCUACUAGAGAUAGUGGAGUGCCCUUUUAGGGAGCUUGAAAACAGGUGCUGCACGGCUGUCGUCAGCUCGUGUCGUGAGAUGUUGGGUUAAGUCCCGCAACGAGCGCAACCCUCGUCCUUAGUUGCUAGCAGUUUGGCUGAGCACUCUAAGGAGACUGCCUUCGUAAGGAGGAGGAAGGUGAGGAUGACGUCAAGUCAUCAUGGCCCUUACGCCUAGGGCUACACACGUGCUACAAUGGGGUGUACAAAGAGACGCAAUACCGCGAGGUGGAGCAAAUCUCAAAAACAUCUCUCAGUUCGGAUUGUAGUCUGCAACUCGACUACAUGAAGCUGGAAUCGCUAGUAAUCGUGAAUCAGCCAUGUCACGGUGAAUACGUUCCCGGGUCUUGUACUCACCGCCCGUCACACCAUGGGAGUUGUAUUCGCCUUAAGCCGGAAUACUAAACUGGUUACCGUCCACGGCGGAUGCAGCGACUGGGGUGAAGUCGUAACAAGGUAACCGUAGGUGAACCUGCGGUUGGAUCACCUCCUUUCUA
Molecule: ribosomal RNA, 1504 nt
Filed under: Helicobacter monodelphidis
Lineage: Bacteria; Pseudomonadati; Campylobacterota; Epsilonproteobacteria; Campylobacterales; Helicobacteraceae
Description: bacterial SSU rRNA
Rfam family: Bacterial small subunit ribosomal RNA
Source: RNAcentral